UAAUAAUAGGAAUUCUUUUGACCAUUAGGUUCUCUUUGACAUUUCUUCUUCUACUUUGUCACGGGCUGAUAAAAGAGGUACAGGCAUACCAUACAAAAUACAACACAUCUCCAGAAGAGUAGACAAGUCUUAAAUAU
Molecule: long non-coding RNA, 137 nt
Organism: Xenopus tropicalis (tropical clawed frog)
Lineage: Eukaryota; Metazoa; Chordata; Amphibia; Anura; Pipidae
Exons: 2
Source: RefSeq, a predicted model, not a curated record